Molecule: transfer RNA, 72 nt
Filed under: Trichonephila clavipes
Lineage: Eukaryota; Metazoa; Arthropoda; Arachnida; Araneae; Nephilidae
Rfam family: tRNA
About the family: Transfer RNA (tRNA) molecules are approximately 80 nucleotides in length.
Source: Rfam by way of RNAcentral
GCGUCGGUCGUAUAACAAUUAGCAUAGCUGCCUUCCAAGCAGUUGACCCGGGUUCGACUCCCGGCCGACGCA